RNAcentral lists this transfer RNA (72 nucleotides) under Melanocetus johnsonii (humpback anglerfish). RNAcentral describes it as "tRNA-Asp". It matches the Rfam family "tRNA". Rfam says of the family: Transfer RNA (tRNA) molecules are approximately 80 nucleotides in length. Lineage: Eukaryota; Metazoa; Chordata; Actinopteri; Lophiiformes; Melanocetidae. The record is from RNAcentral.
AAGACACUAGUAAAACAAACAUUACCCUGCUUUGUCAAAGCAAUAUUGUGGGUUAGAUCCCCACGUGUCUUG